RNAcentral lists this ribosomal RNA (250 nucleotides) under uncultured bacterium. RNAcentral's name for it is "partial 16S ribosomal RNA". It matches the Rfam family "Bacterial small subunit ribosomal RNA", at positions 524 to 773 of the family's 1533-position model. The record is from RNAcentral.
UACGGAGGGUGCAAGCGUUAUCCGGAUUCACUGGGUUUAAAGGGUGCGUAGGUGGGCUAGUAAGUCCGUGGUGAAAUCCCCGAGCUUAACUCGGGAACUGCCGUGGAUACUAUUAGUCUUGAAUAUCGUGGAGGUAAGCGGAAUAUGUCAUGUAGCGGUGAAAUGCUUAGAUAUGACAUAGAACACCGAUAGCGGAGGCAGCUUACUACGCGAUUAUUGACACUGAGGCACGAAAGCGUGGGGAUCAAAC